RNAcentral lists this ribosomal RNA (1832 nucleotides) under Escherichia coli. RNAcentral describes it as "partial 23S ribosomal RNA". It matches the Rfam family "Bacterial large subunit ribosomal RNA", at positions 419 to 2236 of the family's 2925-position model. The record is from RNAcentral. Lineage: Bacteria; Pseudomonadati; Pseudomonadota; Gammaproteobacteria; Enterobacterales; Enterobacteriaceae.
GGGACACGUGGUAUCCUGUCUGAAUAUGGGGGGACCAUCCUCCAAGGCUAAAUACUCCUGACUGACCGAUAGUGAACCAGUACCGUGAGGGAAAGGCGAAAAGAACCCCGGCGAGGGGAGUGAAAAAGAACCUGAAACCGUGUACGUACAAGCAGUGGGAGCACGCUUAGGCGUGUGACUGCGUACCUUUUGUAUAAUGGGUCAGCGACUUAUAUUCUGUAGCAAGGUUAACCGAAUAGGGGAGCCGAAGGGAAACCGAGUCUUAACUGGGCGUUAAGUUGCAGGGUAUAGACCCGAAACCCGGUGAUCUAGCCAUGGGCAGGUUGAAGGUUGGGUAACACUAACUGGAGGACCGAACCGACUAAUGUUGAAAAAUUAGCGGAUGACUUGUGGCUGGGGGUGAAAGGCCAAUCAAACCGGGAGAUAGCUGGUUCUCCCCGAAAGCUAUUUAGGUAGCGCCUCGUGAAUUCAUCUCCGGGGGUAGAGCACUGUUUCGGCAAGGGGGUCAUCCCGACUUACCAACCCGAUGCAAACUGCGAAUACCGGAGAAUGUUAUCACGGGAGACACACGGCGGGUGCUAACGUCCGUCGUGAAGAGGGAAACAACCCAGACCGCCAGCUAAGGUCCCAAAGUCAUGGUUAAGUGGGAAACGAUGUGGGAAGGCCCAGACAGCCAGGAUGUUGGCUUAGAAGCAGCCAUCAUUUAAAGAAAGCGUAAUAGCUCACUGGUCGAGUCGGCCUGCGCGGAAGAUGUAACGGGGCUAAACCAUGCACCGAAGCUGCGGCAGCGACGCUUAUGCGUUGUUGGGUAGGGGAGCGUUCUGUAAGCCUGUGAAGGUGUACUGUGAGGUAUGCUGGAGGUAUCAGAAGUGCGAAUGCUGACAUAAGUAACGAUAAAGCGGGUGAAAAGCCCGCUCGCCGGAAGACCAAGGGUUCCUGUCCAACGUUAAUCGGGGCAGGGUGAGUCGACCCCUAAGGCGAGGCCGAAAGGCGUAGUCGAUGGGAAACAGGUUAAUAUUCCUGUACUUGGUGUUACUGCGAAGGGGGGACGGAGAAGGCUAUGUUGGCCGGGCGACGGUUGUCCCGGUUUAAGCGUGUAGGCUGGUUUUCCAGGCAAAUCCGGAAAAUCAAGGCUGAGGCGUGAUGACGAGGCACUACGGUGCUGAAGCAACAAAUGCCCUGCUUCCAGGAAAAGCCUCUAAGCAUCAGGUAACAUCAAAUCGUACCCCAAACCGACACAGGUGGUCAGGUAGAGAAUACCAAGGCGCUUGAGAGAACUCGGGUGAAGGAACUAGGCAAAAUGGUGCCGUAACUUCGGGAGAAGGCACGCUGAUAUGUAGGUGAAGCGACUUGCUCGUGGAGCUGAAAUCAGUCGAAGAUACCAGCUGGCUGCAACUGUUUAUUAAAAACACAGCACUGUGCAAACACGAAAGUGGACGUAUACGGUGUGACGCCUGCCCGGUGCCGGAAGGUUAAUUGAUGGGGUUAGCGCAAGCGAAGCUCUUGAUCGAAGCCCCGGUAAACGGCGGCCGUAACUAUAACGGUCCUAAGGUAGCGAAAUUCCUUGUCGGGUAAGUUCCGACCUGCACGAAUGGCGUAAUGAUGGCCAGGCUGUCUCCACCCGAGACUCAGUGAAAUUGAACUCGCUGUGAAGAUGCAGUGUACCCGCGGCAAGACGGAAAGACCCCGUGAACCUUUACUAUAGCUUGACACUGAACAUUGAGCCUUGAUGUGUAGGAUAGGUGGGAGGCUUUGAAGUGUGGACGCCAGUCUGCAUGGAGCCGACCUUGAAAUACCACCCUUUAAUGUUUGAUGUUCUAACGUUGACCCGU